GGGUGCAUAGCGCAGUGGUUAGCGCGCAUGCUUUGCAAUGAUUACAUAAGCAUGUAAUCACUUGUGUAUGAGGUCCGGGGUUCGAUCCCCUGUGCAUCCA
This is a transfer RNA of Hydnomerulius pinastri MD-312, 100 nucleotides long. It matches the Rfam family "tRNA". Rfam says of the family: Transfer RNA (tRNA) molecules are approximately 80 nucleotides in length. Their secondary structure includes four short double-helical elements and three loops (D, anti-codon, and T loops). Further hydrogen bonds mediate the characteristic L-shaped molecular structure. tRNAs have two regions of fundamental functional importance: the anti-codon, which is responsible for specific mRNA codon recognition, and the 3' end, to which the tRNAs corresponding amino acid is attached (by aminoacyl-tRNA synthetases). tRNAs cope with the degeneracy of the genetic code in two manners: having more than one tRNA (with a specific anti-codon) for a particular amino acid; and 'wobble' base-pairing, i.e. permitting non-standard base-pairing at the 3rd anti-codon position. The record is from Rfam. Lineage: Eukaryota; Fungi; Basidiomycota; Agaricomycetes; Boletales.